CUUGAUGUAUCUCAUAUCAAUAAGGCCUGACAUCUUGUUUCUUGUGAGUGUUUUAUCCAGAUUUCUGAAUUGUGCUAGUGAGUCACACAUGAUGGUUGCCAAAAGAGUGGUUAGAUAUCUUAAAGGAACUCUAACUUAUGGCAUCAAAUUUAGCAAAUGUUAGAAUUGCAAGCUCCAUGGAUAUUCUGACAGUGAUUGGGCCGGGUCAAUUGAUGAUAUGAAAAGCACUUCUGAAUACUGUUUCACUUUUGGAUCUGGGUGUUUUUCAUGGUGCUCAAAGAAACAAGAAGUGGUGGCACAAUCAACAACUAAAGCAGAG
RNAcentral lists this unclassified non-coding RNA (319 nucleotides) under Hevea brasiliensis (rubber tree). The record is from RNAcentral. Lineage: Eukaryota; Viridiplantae; Streptophyta; Magnoliopsida; Malpighiales; Euphorbiaceae.